Molecule: ribosomal RNA, 495 nt
Filed under: uncultured bacterium
Lineage: Bacteria
Description: partial 16S ribosomal RNA
Rfam family: Bacterial small subunit ribosomal RNA
Source: RNAcentral
GACGAACGCUGGCGGCGUGCCUAAUACAUGCAAGUAGAACGCUGAAGGAGGAGCUUGCUUCUCUGGAUGAGUUGCGAACGGGUGAGUAACGCGUAGGUAACCUGCCUGGUAGCGGGGGAUAACUAUUGGAAACGAUAGCUAAUACCGCAUAAUAGUAGAUGUUGCAUGACAUUUGCUUAAAAGGUGCAAUUGCAUCACUACCAGAUGGACCUGCGUUGUAUUAGCUAGUUGGUGGGGUAACGGCUCACCAAGGCGACGAUACAUAGCCGACCUGAGAGGGUGAUCGGCCACACUGGGACUGAGACACGGCCCAGACUCCUACGGGAGGCAGCAGUAGGGAAUCUUCGGCAAUGGACGGAAGUCUGACCGGGCAACGCCGCGUGAGUGAAGAAGGUUUUCGGAUCGUAAAGCUCUGUUGUAAGAGAAGAACGAGUGUGAGAGUGGAAAGUUCACACUGUGACGGUAUCUUACCAGAAAGGGACGGCUAACUACGUG